This 397-nucleotide ribosomal RNA is filed under the name uncultured bacterium. RNAcentral's name for it is "bacterial SSU rRNA". It matches the Rfam family "Bacterial small subunit ribosomal RNA", at positions 30 to 429 of the family's 1533-position model. The record is from RNAcentral.
AUUGAACGCUGGCGGCAUGCCUUACACAUGCAAGUCGAACGGCAGCACGGGAGCAAUCCUGGUGGCGAGUGGCGAACGGGUGAGUAAUAUAUCGGAACGUGCCCAGUCGUGGGGAUAGCGUAGCGAAAGCUACGCUAAUACCGCAUACGAUCUAUGGAUGAAAGCGGGGGAUCGCAAGACCUCGCGCGAUUGGAGCGGCCGAUAUCAGAUUAGGUAGUUGGUGAGGUAAAGGCUCACCAAGCCGACGAUCUGUAGCUGGUCUGAGAGGACGACCAGCCACACUGGGACUGAGACACGGCCCAGACUCCUACGGGAGGCAGCAGUGGGGAAUUUUGGACAAUGGGCGCAAGCCUGAUCCAGCAAUGCCGCGUGCAGGAUGAAGGCCUUCGGUUGUAAC